This 806-nucleotide ribosomal RNA is filed under the name uncultured archaeon. Its description in RNAcentral is "bacterial SSU rRNA". It matches the Rfam family "Archaeal small subunit ribosomal RNA", at positions 88 to 879 of the family's 1478-position model. The record is from RNAcentral.
GCUCAGUAACACGUGGCUAAUCUGCCCUUAGGACGAGAAUAACCCCGGGAAACUGGGGCUAACUCUCGAUAGGUGAAGAACUCUGGAAUGAGUCUUCACUCAAAAAGCUUCACGUUAUCCUCGUGAAGUCGCCUAAGGAUGAGGCCGCGGCCGAUCAGGUUGUUGGCGAGGUAACGGCUCACCAAGCCUUUUACCGGUGCGGGCCGUGAGAGCGGGAGCCCGGAGAUGGGUACUGAGACAAGGACCCAGGCCCUACGGGGCGCAGCAGUCGCGAAACCUUUGCAAUACACGAAAGUGUGGCAGGGCUAUCCCGAGUGCCAUCCGCUGAGGAAGGCUUUUACCCAGUCUAGAUAGCUGGGGGAAUAAGGAGAGGGCAAGUCUGGUGUCAGCCGCCGCGGUAAUACCAGCUCUCCGAGUGGUGUGGAUGUUUAUUGGGCCUAAAGCAUCCGUAGCUGGCUAGGUCAGUCCCUUGUCAAAUCCACCGAAUUAAUCGUUGGAUCGCGGGGGAUACUGCUUGGCUAGGGGACGAGAGAGGCAGACGGUAUUUUCGGGGUAGGGGUGAAAUCCUAUAAUCCCGGGAAGACCACCAGUGGCGAAGGCUGUCUGCUAGAACGCGCCCGACGGUGAGGGAUGAAAGCUGGGGGAGCGAACCGGAUUAGAUACCCGGGUAGUCCCAGCUGUAAACGAUGCAGACUAGGUGUUUGGACGGCCACGUGCCGUUCUAGUGCCGCAGGGAAGCUGUUAAGUCUGCCGCCUGGGGAGUACGAUCGCAAGAUUGAAACUUAAAGGAAUUGGCGGGGGAGCAC